AUACGUAGGGAGCGAGCGUUGACCGGAAUUACUGGGCGUAAAGGGUACGCAGGCGGGUUGGCAAGUCAGAUGUGAAAUCCCGGGGCUCAACCCCGGAACUGCAUUUGAAACUGGGGAUCUUGAGUGUGGUAGAGGGGAGCGGAAUUCCUAGUGUAGCGGUGAAAUGCGUAGAUAUUUGGAGGAACAUCGGUGGCGAAGGCGGCUUACUGGGCCUUUACUGACGCUGAGGCACGAAAGCGUGGGGAGCAAACAGGAUUAGAUACCCUGGUAGUCCACGCUGUAAACGAUGAUGACUAGGUGUGGGGGGACUGAACCCGUCCGUGCCGCAGUUAACACAAUAAGUCAUCCGCCUGGGGAGUACGGCCGCAAGGUUGAAACUCAAAUGAAUUGACGGGG
Molecule: ribosomal RNA, 396 nt
Filed under: uncultured bacterium
Lineage: Bacteria
Description: partial 16S ribosomal RNA
Rfam family: Bacterial small subunit ribosomal RNA
Source: RNAcentral